Molecule: ribosomal RNA, 583 nt
Filed under: uncultured bacterium
Lineage: Bacteria
Description: bacterial SSU rRNA
Rfam family: Bacterial small subunit ribosomal RNA
Source: RNAcentral
CUCCUACGGGAGGCAGCAGUAGGGAAUUUUCGGCAAUGGGGGCAACCCUGACCGAGCAAUGCCGCGUGAAUGAAGAAGGUCUUCGGAUCGUAAAAUUUUGUUGUUAGGGAAGAAUAGUAGAUAUAGGAAAUGAUAUCUAUGUGACGGUACCUAACUAGAAAGCUCCGGCUAACUACGUGCCAGCAGCCGCGGUAAUACGUAGGGAGCGAGCGUUAUCCGGAAUUAUUGGGCGUAAAGCGUGCGUAGGCGGUUUAUUAAGUCUGAUGUGAAAUCCCCCGGCUCAACCGGGGAGGGUCAUUGGAAACUGGUAAACUUGAGUACAGUAGAGGCAAGUGGAAUUCCAUGUGUAGCGGUAAAAUGCGUAGAUAUAUGGAGGAACACCAGUGGCGAAGGCGGCUUGCUGGGCUGGAACUGACGCUGAGGCACGAAAGCGUGGGGAGCAAACAGGAUUAGAUACCCUGGUAGUCCACGCCGUAAACGAUGGGUACUAAGUGUUGGCAGAGAUGUCAGUGCUGUAGUUAACGCAUUAAGUACCCCGCCUGGGGAGUACGGUCGCAAGACUGAAACUCAAAGGAAUUGACGG